AUGAACGCUGGCGGCGUGCUUAACACAUGCAAGUCGAACGAUUAAGACGGCUUCGGCCGUGUAUAGAGUGGCGAACGGGUGAGUAACACGUGACCAACCUGCCCCGCGCUCCGGGACAACCGCUGGAAACGGCGGCUAAUACCGGAUGCUCCGGGGAGGCCCCAUGGCCUCCCCGGGAAAGCCUUAACGGCGCGGGAUGGGGUCGCGGCCCAUUAGGUAGACGGCGGGGUAACGGCCCACCGUGCCCGCGAUGGGUAGCCGGACUGAGAGGUCGACCGGCCACAUUGGGACUGAGAUACGGCCCAGACUCCUACGGGAGGCAGCAGUGGGGAAUUUUGCGCAAUGGGGGCAACCCUGACGCAGCAACGCCGCGUGCGGGACGAAGGCCUUCGGGUUGUAAACCGCUUUCAGCAGGGAAGACAUAGACGGUACCUGCAGAAGAAGCUCCGGCUAACUACGUGCCAGCAGCCGCGGUAAUACGUAGGGGGCGAGCGUUAUCCGGAUUCAUUGGGCGUAAAGCGCGCGUAGGCGGCCGCCUAAGCGGAACCUCUAAUCCCGGGGCUCAACCUCGGGCCGGGUUCCGGACUGGGCGGCUCGAGUGCGGUAGAGGCAGGCGGAAUUCCCGGUGUAGCGGUGGAAUGCGCAGAUAUCGGGAAGAACACCGAUGGCGAAGGCAGCCUGCUGGGCCGCCACUGACGCUGAGGCGCGAAAGCUGGGGGAGCGAACAGGAUUAGAUACCCUGGUAGUCCCAGCCGUAAACGAUGGGCGCUAGGUGUGGGGGGACAGUCCCCCCGUGCCGCAGCCAACGCAUUAAGCGCCCCGCCUGGGGAGUACGGCCGC
RNAcentral lists this ribosomal RNA (840 nucleotides) under human gut metagenome. RNAcentral describes it as "bacterial SSU rRNA". It matches the Rfam family "Bacterial small subunit ribosomal RNA", at positions 29 to 889 of the family's 1533-position model. The record is from RNAcentral.